RNAcentral lists this unclassified non-coding RNA (149 nucleotides) under soil metagenome. RNAcentral's name for it is "partial internal transcribed spacer 1". The record is from RNAcentral.
CUGGAAUCGCAAGAUCCCACAACCCCUGUGAACCUACCGAAACGUUGCCUCGGCGGGUGCCCGGCCCUGCGCCGGGCGCUGCGCCCGCCGGCGGCCCCCCUACUCUUGUCUCUGCAGCGUGGCAUCUCAGAGUCCCAGAAAACAAGUCA